This is a non-coding RNA of Taeniopygia guttata (zebra finch), 1569 nucleotides long. Lineage: Eukaryota; Metazoa; Chordata; Aves; Passeriformes; Estrildidae. The record is from RefSeq and is a predicted model, not a curated record.
UUCCCUGUCUCCUGCCCUGCCGGGGGAGGAGGUGCAGCUGGGAGCAGGGAGCCGUGGGGAAAGCUGCAUUUAAGGCUCUGCACUGACUUCUCCUCAUCCUGCUCUGAGUCUUUGGAGUUUUCUGCCAGAAAUCUCUCCCCUCCCCCGCUCACCCACAGGGCUUUGGGCAGGUUUCCCUUUUUGGGGGAAAUCAAAGCGAAGCAGCGAUGCACUAAUGAGGGGCAGGAGAAGUGAGGCUCCCGGGCUUCCCGCAGAGCCGGAGGCACGGAAGGCGCAGGGCCGGGAAAGCCGUGGCGGGAGGUGCGGAGAAGUUUGUUUGUGUGGGCAGCUCAAUCCCGCCUCGGGCCCGGGCCCGUCCCGGGGCUGUUGCUCAUCUCCGGCUUUGCCCUCACGCAGCGCGGGGGGCCCUGAGAGCGCGGGGCGAGUCUGGGCCGUGCGCAGAGCCCGCCCCCAGCUCGCUGCCAUUGGCCGCUGGUGCCGUCAGUCGCGGUUGCGGCGCGCUGAUUGGUGGGAGCGGGGCGCAGCACGGCCCCGGCGGCGGGCUGAGGGCGGCCGUGGGCGGGCAGCGGCGCCAUUGGCGCCAGGAGCGUCUGUGCGGGCCCGGGAGCGGCGGCAGCGGCCGGAGCGCGGUGAGGCGGCGUCGGCGGAGCUCGGAGGCGGCCCCGGCGCAGCACUGAGCUGCAGACAGAGACCAGGGAGAACAAAUCCCUGCCACAGAACCUCAUGGAAGAGGCCAUUUGGAACGGCUCCACGGCGCAGGAAUCCAACAGGGAGGAAAAAAGAUCCCACACAAGGAGGGGCUGCAAACCCAGCCCGGGGAGCUGUGAGGAGGGAAAACCCUCCCUGUGCUGGGAAGGGUGUGCGGAAUGUGAGAAGAGCUUAAGGCAGAGCUCAGCCUACUCCUGGCACCUGCAAAGAUGGCGGUGCUGGAUGCAGAGAUCCAAGGGGAUGCAGAGAUCCCCCUGCAGAUCCAAGGGGAUGCAGAGAUUCCCCUGCAGAUCCAUGGGGAUGCAGAGAUCUCCCUGCAUAUCCCUGGAGAUGCAGAGAUCCCCCUGCAGAUCCAUGGGUGUAAUAUAUGAUUUAAAAUAAAUUCGUGCUCAGCACUAAAAAAAAUAUGGUAUCUUUUAAAAUGGAAUCAAGUGACAAGAAAGAGCAAUAUACACAAGAUUAAUUCCUGCCUCAGAGGAUGGUUAUUCUGAAAGAUUAUUCAAUCUAGAAGAUAACCAUUGAAUGAUAAGAUGAAUAGUUGUUGCCAAACAAGAUAUUCGAGAGGAAUACCAUCUAACAAGAUUUCAGCAAUAAAAACUCUGCACAAGGAAAGAACAUGCAUUAAUAUGUGGAAAGGGGCAAGAUAGACGAGAGGGAACAGGAAGACCACCUGGAAUCCUGCUACAUCUGAAAACAGUAUAAAGAAGACCCUGCAGAAUCAAUACGUUGUGGACUGCCAGCGUUACAGGGCUGCAUAGCCUGAACCCAGUUCACCCAGCAACAAUUGCCUGGCUCGGCACUGUUUUACUUACAGCUUUUGCAAUUUUUAUUUUGACUUGAUUUAAUAAAUUCCUCUAAUUA